UCCCUGGUGGACUAGAGGUUAGGCCACAGCACUCUCGCCACUGCAGCCCGAGUUCGAUUCCCGGCCAGCCAC
Non-coding RNA from Pangasius djambal, 72 nucleotides. Lineage: Eukaryota; Metazoa; Chordata; Actinopteri; Siluriformes; Pangasiidae. The record is from the annotation of a GenBank genome assembly.